Molecule: long non-coding RNA, 399 nt
Organism: Acanthochromis polyacanthus (spiny chromis)
Lineage: Eukaryota; Metazoa; Chordata; Actinopteri; Pomacentridae
Exons: 4
Source: RefSeq, a predicted model, not a curated record
UAGAGGGACAGGACAAGUAGAACUAGAGGGACAGGACAGGUAUGACUACAGGGACAGGACAGGACAGGUAUGACUACAGGGACAGGACAGGUAGGACUAGAGGGACAGGACAGGUAUGACUACAGGGACAGGACAGGUAGGACUAGAGGGACAGGACAGGUAUGACUACAGGGACAGGACAGGACAGGUAUGACUACAGGGACAGGACAGGUAGGACUAGAGGGACAGGACAGGUAGGACUAGAAGGACAGGACAGGUAGGACUACAGGGACAGGACAGGACAGGUAUGACUACAGGGACAGGACAGGUAGGACUAGAGGGACAGGUAUGACUAGAGGACAGGACAGGAGAGGACAGGACAGAUAGGACUACUUCUACUUAAGUUUAUUGAGUACGGUU